AGCAGCCGCGGUAAUUCCAGCUCCAAUGGCGUAUAUUAAAGUUGUUGCAGUUAAAAAGCUCGUAGUUGAAUUUCGGGAUCAAUUUAUUGGUCGUGCUAUUGUACGUACUGGUAUUAUUGAUUUCUACCUUCUGACGAACCAUGAUGUCAUUAAUUUGGUGUCUUGGGGAAUCAGGACUGUUACUUUGAAAAAUUAGAGUGUUUAAAGCAGGCUCACGCUUGAAUACAUUAGCAUGGAAUAACGAAAUAGGACGUUUGAUUCUAUUUUGUUGGUUUCUAGGAUCGACGUAAUGAUUAAUAGGGAUAGUUGGGGGCAUUAGUAUUCAAUUGUCAGAGGUGAAAUUCUUGGAUUUAUUGAAGACUAACUACUGCGAAAGCAUUUGCCAAGGAUGUUUUCAUUAAUCAAGAACGAAAGUUAGGGGAUCGAAGACGAUCAGAUACCGUCGUAGUC
RNAcentral lists this ribosomal RNA (450 nucleotides) under uncultured Glomus. RNAcentral describes it as "SSU rRNA". It matches the Rfam family "Eukaryotic small subunit ribosomal RNA", at positions 569 to 1025 of the family's 1831-position model. The record is from RNAcentral. Lineage: Eukaryota; Fungi; Glomeromycota; Glomeromycetes; Glomerales; Glomeraceae.